Molecule: long non-coding RNA, 2407 nt
Filed under: Oncorhynchus kisutch (coho salmon)
Lineage: Eukaryota; Metazoa; Chordata; Actinopteri; Salmoniformes; Salmonidae
Description: lncRNA (ENSOKIG00005049805.1)
Source: RNAcentral
UUUUAUGAGUCAUGAUUAUGGUUCCAUGUUACAGUAUGCAUAUUUGGCAGCAUGCCUUAUUCUCCUCACCCCAUGUCACUUUCAGGGUUCUUCAAAGCACAUUGCCCAGAGUCAUGAAGGCAGCAUGUCUCUCAGUGUGUGUCUCCUUGGUGGUGAUGAUGAUAACGUUUGCCCCAAAGCCAAAGGAGUGGACGUGGAUGCACAGGGUAGUGUUAACGGAAUCCCUGUGUUGGAGGUCGACGUGGAGUCUUUUGAAGAAAAGCCAUGGAGAAAGCAUGACUCACACUUAACGAGGACUCCUGGAAAGCCUACUGUGAGAACCAGAGGAGAUUACGCAAGGUCAUGAACCACACUUCAGCCACUAAACUCAUGGUCCAGGAAUGGGACCUUCCCUGCUUUAGAUCUGACUACUCCUCCCCCAGCAACCACUACAAAUCAGCCUUGUCCAGUAGAAAGACAAACGGCACCACCAAUGUUACUGGAGGACAAACUGGUACCAUCAGCCGGGUAGAGGAACAGAGAAGUCACAAUAUAGAAGGAAAUAACAUCCAGGUGCUUUCCAAGCCAUCUGACGCUGAGCCUACUCCCACUAAGAUGCCCCCCUUCUUCCCCCCGCCUCCUUUCCCGCCUCCACCCUACAAUGUCAACUCCGCCCCUCCACUCAUUCCUCCACCACGUAAGUUACCUCAGCCCCUCACAGACAAACACACACACACACACAAACAUUGCUCUCUGUCUGUGUGCCCUCUGUUCAGCAGAACAGUUAUGCAAUAUAAAUGGCAAGGUUAUGGAUUGAAUAAAGACACUGCUUGAAGGUCGUGGGUCAGACAGACAGACUGGUGAGAGUCACUCUCGUGACAUCAUGGGAUGUCAAGGAAAAAUGGCGUUCAACUAUGACACUCUCUAUCUCUUCCCCUCUCUCCCUCUCUCUCUAUCUCUCUCAUUACAGUAAUGUAUCUCGACAAUCGAUACCUCGAAUAUCCUUCAACUCUUGUCAAUGUAAAAAGGGCCUUACUUUCAUUGUGUGGGUGCAUCAUUAGUACAGUUGAGGGGUUUGAGGGACCAGAUGAAAGUGUAACCUUGAGAGUUGCAGGUGUAAAUCCCAUGCUGGGAACCCAUGAAAGACAGGCACCAUAAGUGGUAAUAAAUAACACUGCAUGUCGAAGGACAUGUUUAGAUUAUUUUUAGAUGAUUUGGAGGUGAAUGCAGAUGGGUUAACAUAAACAGGUGUGUGUAAUUCUCUCCAGGUGUGUGGGUGCCAGUGCUGUCAGUCUGUCGGACUUCCUCCUCAUCGCCUGAUGAAUAUGAGGCAGAGGGCAGGAAGUCCCCCCUGGCCUGAGCUCACAGCUGAGCGCAGGCUGCCAUCGCUUCAUCUUCAAAGAUUCCAAAAUAGCACCCCUCACACACUCCCAGCACCCCCUAAGUUCAAUGAGCCCGGUACCGACAUGUUGUUCAACCUGUGCCAAAUAUCCUAAUACAACCAAAAUAUCAAACAUCCUGUUGACCCGGCAAACCUGGCUUUCCUUCUUUAAGUUACAGGCUCUGCCUCCUUUUGUGAUGCAAAUGUUCAACGUGAUAAAAAUAGCUCCUGGAAGAAAAGAAAAGUGUAGAGCCAGCAGAUUGGAGGGAGAGAGAGAGAGCUUUGUUACUCUUGGUACCAUAGGGUCACAUUAGUGGUGUAGUAUUAUUGCUUGAUAGGGCCAGGUUUUAGCGUGGGGUUGUGUUGUCAUUGCAGGCCAGUCUGUGUAGUGAAGCACUAAGGGAUGUUGUCUGGAGCUCUAGUGUAGAACUGGUGGUACUGAUCAGUGUAGUUUGGCACAUACAUUGUGGUUAGUUUGACACCUGUACUGACUGAUAUGGCUGUGACGGUCUUGGAAUUUGAGGUUGCGGUAAUUGGCCAGGCCAAUGUACAGACACCAACAUAAUCGUUCAAGGAUAUGCAUAUGCUUCCUAAUAAAACCUAUUUGAAACAAGCCAUUACACUUCGUUAUCAUCAUGGCGUUUCAUUACUAUUAUUCAGGUUAUUACUUUUAAAUAUGAAUCAACAAAUUAAGAAAUGCCAGGUUGGGGAGGAUCUGUGGGAUUUUUGUAUCGACACAUCAUCAGCUGAGUCAAAAUAAAGAUAUUCCUACCUUGUCUGUUGGCUUUUCUGCAUAUAUACACAAUCAAUCAGUCAAAUCAAAUGUAUUUAUAAAGCCCUUUUUACAUCAGCCGAUGUCACAAAGUGCUAUACGAAUUUCUUUCUUUAUUUUACCUUUAUUUAACUAGGCAAGUCAGUCAAGAACAAAUUCUUAUUUUCAGUGACGGCCUAGGAACAGUGGGUUAACUGCCUGUUCAGGGGCAGAACGACAGAUGUCAGCUCGGGGGUUUGAACUUGCAACCUUCCGGUUACUAGUCCAACUCUCUA